GAUGAACGCUGGCGGCGUGCCUAAUACAUGCAAGUCGAGCGAACAGACGAGGAGCUUGCUCCUCUGACGUUAGCGGCGGACGGGUGAGUAACACGUGGAUAACCUACCUAUAAGACUGGGAUAACUUCGGGAAACCGGAGCUAAUACCGGAUAAUAUAUUGAACCGCAUGGUUCAAUAGUGAAAGACGGUUUUGCUGUCACUUACAGAUGGAUCCGCGCCGCAUUAGCUAGUUGGUAAGGUAACGGCUUACCAAGGCAACGAUGCGUAGCCGACCUGAGAGGGUGAUCGGCCACACUGGAACUGAGACACGGUCCAGACUCCUACGGGGGGCAGCAGUAGGGAAUCUUCCGCAAUGGGCGAAAGCCUGACGGAGCAACGCCGCGUGAGUGAUGAAGGUCUUCGGAUCGUAAAACUCUGUUAUUAGGGAAGAACAAAUGUGUAAGUAACUAUGCACGUCUUGACGGUACCUAAUCAGAAAGCCACGGCUAACUACGUGCCAGCCGCCGCGGUAA
RNAcentral lists this ribosomal RNA (513 nucleotides) under uncultured bacterium. Its description in RNAcentral is "partial 16S ribosomal RNA". It matches the Rfam family "Bacterial small subunit ribosomal RNA", at positions 28 to 523 of the family's 1533-position model. The record is from RNAcentral.